UUCGUCUUCACUAAUCUUUCAUCUCCUCUAUUUUUUUUUAUCAUUAUAAUAUUUUUAAAAUUGUUUUAUGCUAUUAUUUUAUGUUUCUUAUUAUACUUUUAUCUAAUCUAAUUUUUACAUAUUAAAUAGGAAAUUAUUGUCCAAAUAUGAUGAAUUAUGUUGUUAUUUGAUAAUAUAUGAAUGAUUAAAUACAAAGUUAGAGAUACAUGGUAUAAAUUGUUUGUAUUAGUAUUUCACCAUUCUUAAGAUU
RNAcentral lists this long non-coding RNA (250 nucleotides) under Lathyrus oleraceus (garden pea). Its description in RNAcentral is "Pisum sativum (pea) long non-coding RNA (PSAT_LNC015612)". The record is from RNAcentral. Lineage: Eukaryota; Viridiplantae; Streptophyta; Magnoliopsida; Fabales; Fabaceae.